CACGUAGGCACCAAGCGUUGUCCGGAUUUAUUGGGCGUAAAGAGCUCGUAGGCGGUUCAGUAAGUCGGGUGUGAAAACUUUGGGCUUAACCCAAAGCGUGCAUCUGAUACUGCUGUGACUUGAGUUCGGUAGGGGAGUGGGGAAUUCCUAGUGUAGCGGUGAAAUGCGCAGAUAUUAGGAGGAACACCGGUGGCGAAAGCGCGAGACUGGGCCAUAACUGACGCUGAGGAACGAAAGCCAGGGUAGCAAAAGGG
RNAcentral lists this ribosomal RNA (254 nucleotides) under uncultured bacterium. RNAcentral's name for it is "partial 16S ribosomal RNA". It matches the Rfam family "Bacterial small subunit ribosomal RNA", at positions 524 to 776 of the family's 1533-position model. The record is from RNAcentral.